RNAcentral lists this ribosomal RNA (505 nucleotides) under Bathysciola convena. Its description in RNAcentral is "partial 16S ribosomal RNA". It matches the Rfam family "Bacterial large subunit ribosomal RNA", at positions 1825 to 2596 of the family's 2925-position model. The record is from RNAcentral. Lineage: Eukaryota; Metazoa; Arthropoda; Insecta; Coleoptera; Leiodidae.
GUCUUAUUGAAUAUAAUUUUAAGUCUAAUCUGCCCAAUGAUUAAUUAAAUGGCUGCAGUAUCUUGACUGUACAAAGGUAGCAUAAUAAUUAGUUUCUUAAUUAGGAACUGGAAUGAAUGAUUGGACGAGAUAAUGACUGUCUUGGUUUAAAUUUUAGAAUUUUAUCUUUAAGUUAAAAAGCUUAAAUUUUUUUAAAAGACGAGAAGACCCUAUAGAAUUUUAUAUAAAUUUAAUAUUUUAUUUUUAGAAUUUCAAUAAAAAAUUUUUGAAUGAAUAUUUAGUUGGGGUGAUUGAAAAAUUUAAAAAACUUUUUUUUUAUGAAAACAUGAAUAUAUGAUUAUUUGAUCCAAUUAUAUUGAUUAUAAGAUUAAAUUACCUUAGGGAUAACAGCGUAAUUUUUUUAGAGAGUUCUAAUCGAUAAAAGAGAUUGCGACCUCGAUGUUGGAUUAAAGUUAAUUUUUAAUGAAGAAGUUAAAAUAUUAGGUCUGUUCGACCUUUGAAACUU